RNAcentral lists this ribosomal RNA (425 nucleotides) under uncultured bacterium. Its description in RNAcentral is "partial 16S ribosomal RNA". It matches the Rfam family "Bacterial small subunit ribosomal RNA", at positions 354 to 796 of the family's 1533-position model. The record is from RNAcentral.
GUGGGGAAUAUUGGACAAUGGGCGAAAGCCUGAUCCAGCCAUGCCGCGUGAGUGAUGAAGGCCUUAGGGUUGUAAAGCUCUUUUGUCCGGGAAGAUAAUGACUGUACCGGAAGAAUAAGCCCCGGCUAACUUCGUGCCAGCAGCCGCGGUAAUACGAAGGGGGCUAGCGUUGCUCGGAAUCACUGGGCGUAAAGGGCGCGUAGGCGGCCCCUUAAGUCGGGGGUGAAAGCCCAGGGCUCAACCCUGGAAUAGCCUUCGAUACUGAGAGUCUUGAGUUCGGAAGAGGUUGGUGGAAUUGCGAGUGUAGAGGUGAAAUUCGUAGAUAUUCGCAAGAACACCAGUGGCGAAGGCGGCCAACUGGUCCGAUACUGACGCUGAGGCGCGAAAGCGUGGGGAGCAAACAGGAUUAGAUACCCGAGUAGUCC